This 284-nucleotide long non-coding RNA is filed under the name Elaeis guineensis (African oil palm). Its description in RNAcentral is "long non-coding RNA (EGUI_LNC079431)". The record is from RNAcentral. Lineage: Eukaryota; Viridiplantae; Streptophyta; Magnoliopsida; Arecales; Arecaceae.
UGCAUGCUCCCGAUGCAACUGAACCACUAUGACCAGUUGAGAACAAUCAAUGCUGGUAGCACGCUUGCAUAUCUACGACAAUAGAAGACCAUUGGACUUAAUAUUUAUUGAGAGAUUUAAAUUUAGGUCUCAUCUAAUCAGUCAUCACAUUACUGAUCUAAUUGACAUGGGCUAAAUCAAAUUAUCAAGCAACCAUAUUUGAGACUCAAUCUUCCAAAUUAGCCAGAUAAGUGGAGAUUGAUGGGGGUCCCCCCAUUAUUUUUUUAGAUACCAAUAAAUUGGCC